This 100-nucleotide non-coding RNA is filed under the name Otolemur garnettii (small-eared galago). Lineage: Eukaryota; Metazoa; Chordata; Mammalia; Primates; Galagidae. The record is from RNAcentral.
GGCUGGUCUGAGUAUAGGGGAGAUUGCAAUUAAUUGUUUACAAACAGUUACAGAUUUCUUUAUUAGUUCUCUACUCCCACUUCUUCACUUGGUAGGGGUG